CGCGUAGGCGGUUUUGUAAGUUGGAUGUGAAAGCCCCGGGCUUAACCUGGGAAUUGCAUUCAAAACUGCAAGGCUAGAGUGUGGUAGAGGGAAGUGGAAUUUCCGGUGUAGCGGUGAAAUGCAUAGAGAUCGGAAGGAACAUCAGUGGCGAAGGCGACUUCCUGGACCAACACUGACGCUGAGGUGCGAAAGCGUGGGUAGCAAACA
This 207-nucleotide ribosomal RNA is filed under the name uncultured bacterium. RNAcentral's name for it is "partial 16S ribosomal RNA". It matches the Rfam family "Bacterial small subunit ribosomal RNA", at positions 568 to 774 of the family's 1533-position model. The record is from RNAcentral.